AUGUAGCAAUUUUAAAUUUAUUUCAAAAAUGGUUUAUAUCCUAUGUCAAUUUACUGGAACGAAUAAUUUAAAAUAAACCUGAAGUAAAAUUAACUUCAAAUGAAAGACGGCUACAUAUCACGGUUCUCAAAAAGAGAGAAAAACAGCUGCAUACCAUGACUCCCAAAAAUAAAAAAAAAAACAGUUACAUGUCACAGUUCUAAAAGAGAGCUGUAUUAUAUAACUAUUAUUUGAAUAUCUGGAUAAAUAUUUACACUUCAUUUACUCUUGAUUUAUUUUGAACAACGGAUUAAAAAACUCAGAAUAAUAUUAUUGCAUGUAAGAUCUGUAACGAACUUGAUUUCUCUCUGUUAUUUGUUACAAUCUUUAUACAAGUAUAUUUAAACAAAAAAAAAUUUACAAGUCAAAAAUUUAUUAAAUAAAUAAAAAAAUAAAGGUACUCAAAAAAGACCUCUUGUCGCCAAAAACCGCUGAAAAUUAAUAGCAUUAUAUAAUUGCUCUCAGGUAAAAGAACACACAUUAAGGUUUACGUUAAAAAAAAAAAGUUAAGUACAUAAACAUGAUUCCUUGAUAUGAAGCUAAACCACUAUAUGCCUUGAUAUGAAGCUAAACCACUAUACUGUUAAACGAAAAUACAUUGUAAAUAAUAAUAAUGCAUAACUUUUGUAAUAAUAUGUACAAGGUAAAUAUACAUUGAAUAUAUUACUGGUAGGACUUCCAGAAAAUCACACGAUCUUAUCAUGAAGCCCUUUACAAUCUAUAUUAGGAGUCAAAAUAAAUAAAUAAAUUUACAAAUA
Non-coding RNA from Hydra vulgaris (swiftwater hydra), 797 nucleotides. NCBI's taxonomy places the organism in Eukaryota, Metazoa, Cnidaria, Hydrozoa, Anthoathecata, Hydridae. The record is from RefSeq and is a predicted model, not a curated record.